GGAUGUGAGAGGAUCUGGCUGUGACGUGUCUCACAUUGAUCUCCAGGGUUGAUCUGGCUGAUCUGGCUGGCUAAUCGGGUGUUCCCUUCCACACUGCUCUAUGUGUAUUCCUCUGGAAAGCAUGUAUCUUGGGAUGGAGACACAUGCUGAUUAGUGUUUAUGAUUUGUUAAAGCUCGUCUGAGGAUUCAGAACCAAAGUCAGCCACAAACCAUAGAAGCUAGGACUCAGGAUUAAGAGAUGGAUCUCUUUGA
Mesocricetus auratus (golden hamster) is the source of this 252-nucleotide unclassified non-coding RNA. Its record names the gene 7SK. It matches the Rfam family "7SK RNA". From Rfam's summary of the family: 7SK was discovered as an abundant small nuclear RNA in the mid-70s but a possible function has only recently been suggested. Two independent studies have found that 7SK RNA binds the CDK9/cyclin T complex (known as elongation factor P-TEFb). P-TEFb activates transcription by phosphorylating the C-terminal domain of RNA polymerase II. Lineage: Eukaryota; Metazoa; Chordata; Mammalia; Rodentia; Cricetidae. The record is from Ensembl.